UCUGAGCCAUAUCACCCUGCAGCCCAAGACUGGUUGCCCACUGAAGCUAAGCAGGGUUGAGUCUGGUCAGUACCUGGACGGGAGACCUCCUGGGAAAACUAGGUUGCUGUUGGAA
Molecule: ribosomal RNA, 115 nt
Filed under: Sinocyclocheilus grahami
Lineage: Eukaryota; Metazoa; Chordata; Actinopteri; Cypriniformes; Cyprinidae
Source: RNAcentral